CCUACGGGGGGCUGCAGUGGGGAAUAUUGGACAAUGGGGGCAACCCUGAUCCAGCCAUGCCGCGUGUGUGAAGAAGGCCCUCGGGUUGUAAAGCACUUUCAGUGAGGAAGAACGCCUGGUGGUUAAUACCCAUCAGGAAAGACAUCACUCACAGAAGAAGCACCGGCUAACUCCGUGCCAGCAGCCGCGGUAAUACGGAGGGUGCGAGCGUUAAUCGGAAUUACUGGGCGUAAAGCGCGCGUAGGUGGCUUAAUAAGCCGGUUGUGAAAGCCCCGGGCUCAACCUGGGAACGGCAUCCGGAACUGUCAAGCUAGAGUGCAGGAGAGGAAGGUAGAAUUCCCGGUGUAGCGGUGAAAUGCGUAGAGAUCGGGAGGAAUACCAGUGGCGAAGGCGGCCUUCUGGACUGACACUGACACUGAGGUGCGAAAGCGUGGGUAGCAAACAGGAUUAGAUACCCCGGUAGUC
This 465-nucleotide ribosomal RNA is filed under the name Vreelandella stevensii. RNAcentral's name for it is "partial 16S ribosomal RNA". It matches the Rfam family "Bacterial small subunit ribosomal RNA", at positions 338 to 795 of the family's 1533-position model. Lineage: Bacteria; Pseudomonadati; Pseudomonadota; Gammaproteobacteria; Oceanospirillales; Halomonadaceae. The record is from RNAcentral.